CUACGGACUUGAUUGUAUUGAGCCUUGGUAUGGAAACCUGCUAAGUGGCAACUUCCAAAUUUAGAGAAACCCUGGAAUUAAAAAACGGGCAAUCCUGAGCCAAAUCCAUGUUUUGAGAAAACAAGCGGCUCAGGUCGAGGCUACCACUCGGCCCUCAGACGGAUCAAAGAAGAGUGGGGAACCUCUCGCUGGUUUUUGGAAUUCGACAUCAGGAAGUGUUUUCACAGUCCAGGUUGGUUGGUGAGCCUAGUGAUAGUAGACUAUCUAGCUUGGUUCGGAGAGCACUUGUUGGGUUUAAGAUUAGUAUUUUGCUAAAUGUUACGG
Non-coding RNA from Oryza glumipatula, 324 nucleotides. NCBI's taxonomy places the organism in Eukaryota, Viridiplantae, Streptophyta, Magnoliopsida, Poales, Poaceae. The record is from Rfam.